Diachasmimorpha longicaudata is the source of this 481-nucleotide long non-coding RNA. RefSeq lists it as uncharacterized. The transcript has 3 exons. Lineage: Eukaryota; Metazoa; Arthropoda; Insecta; Hymenoptera; Braconidae. The record is from RefSeq and is a predicted model, not a curated record.
GUUUUGAGCUGGAGCCGCAGAAGUCGUCCUGCUCUCCACCAUCCUCAGUCUACGUUGAUACUCCACACAUACCAAGGCAUUGGCUAGAUGUGCUUCAUUACAAUUGACGCACUUUGCUGGUUCAUGUUGAGGGGAAUUUCCUGACUCAUUGUGGCUUUUUUACAAGAUACCGUAUUUGACGUGGAGGUUUUUUUCCUUUUGCGUGGGUCUGGUGUGGUUAUAACUUGGGAAAAUUCUCCACCUGAACUCCCCAUGGGAGCUCGGUCUUGACUUUGGAGAGCACUUGUUAGUGAAGUGGUCGCUGGGACGCUGGGCGAACCAGACAAGAACCAUGGGACGAGAACUGGCGCGUUCAGCAGGAUAUGGUCGUUGGCUGCCAAGAUUAAAAAAAGAAUUUCUUCUUAACGAAAUAUCAUAUGCUCAUCUAUCAAAUUCACGCAAACAUCUUGAUCAGUUAAUAAAAUUAUCCAAAACUACAUAA